AAACACGCAAUGAUAAGAAAAGUAGAUCGAUUGUGCUUGUUUCAGAGAGCUCGGAUGGUGAGAAAGAGCGCAAGCAGGUGAUUGAAGAUGGUCUUGGAGCGUUUGGACGUGAGUAUCUUAGAUACAAGCGUGCAACGGGUUGCCCGUUACAGCAAAUCAGUGAACUGAUAAGGUUGAUGUUGAUCAACGAAUAAAGGUGGUACCACGAACUUGGUUGUUUCGUCCUUUCC
This 230-nucleotide non-coding RNA is filed under the name Enterococcus sp. RNAcentral describes it as "T-box sequence". It matches the Rfam family "T-box leader". From Rfam's summary of the family: Uncharged tRNA acts as the effector for transcription antitermination of genes in the T-box leader family. T-boxes are found upstream of many aminoacyl-tRNA synthetase genes and some amino acid biosynthetic genes usually in Gram-positive bacteria. The anticodon of a specific tRNA base pairs to a specifier sequence within the T-box motif, and the NCCA acceptor tail of the tRNA base pairs to a conserved bulge in the T-box antiterminator hairpin. The record is from RNAcentral. Lineage: Bacteria; Bacillati; Bacillota; Bacilli; Lactobacillales; Enterococcaceae.